RNAcentral lists this ribosomal RNA (492 nucleotides) under uncultured bacterium. RNAcentral describes it as "partial 16S ribosomal RNA". It matches the Rfam family "Bacterial small subunit ribosomal RNA", at positions 29 to 507 of the family's 1533-position model. The record is from RNAcentral.
AGUGAACGCUGGCGGUAGGCCUAACACAUGCAAGUCGAACGGCAGCACAGUAAGAGCUUGCUCUUACGGGUGGCGGGUGGCGGACGGGUGAGGAAUACAUCGGAAUCUACUUUUUCGUGGGGGAUAACGUAGGGAAACUUACGCUAAUACCGCAUACGACCUACGGGUGAAAGCAGGGGAUCUUCGGACCUUGCGCGAUUGAAUGAGCCGAUGUCGGAUUAGCUAGUUGGCGGGGUAAAGGCCCACCAAGGCGACGAUCCGUAGCUGGUCUGAGAGGAUGAUCAGCCACACUGGAACUGAGACACGGUCCAGACUCCUACGGGAGGCAGCAGUGGGGAAUAUUGGACAAUGGGCGCAAGCCUGAACCAGCCCUACCGCGUGGGUGAAGAAGGCCUUCGGGUUGUAAAGCCCUUUUGUUGGGAAAGAAAAGCAGCAGGUUAAUACCCCGCUGUUCUGACGGUACCCAAAGAAUAAGCACCGGCUAACUUCGUG